CUCUUACUUCCGUCGUUCUUGCCUCUUCCCAUCUCAAAGACUCGAU
This 46-nucleotide small RNA is filed under the name Arabidopsis thaliana (thale cress). Its description in RNAcentral is "ATSL056960". The record is from RNAcentral. Lineage: Eukaryota; Viridiplantae; Streptophyta; Magnoliopsida; Brassicales; Brassicaceae.